Long non-coding RNA from Magallana angulata, 1177 nucleotides. RefSeq lists it as uncharacterized. NCBI's taxonomy places the organism in Eukaryota, Metazoa, Mollusca, Bivalvia, Ostreida, Ostreidae. The transcript is spliced from 2 exons. The record is from RefSeq and is a predicted model, not a curated record.
UUUUUCCGACGAUUAGUCGGUAUUUUUUUCCUCUGAAGCAGAGCACCCGACUAAUCGUCUUGUUCGACUUGUCGUAGGCUCGAAGUCAGAAAUUUUUUUAAAAUAGCAUUAAAAAUCUUGGUUUUAAUCAUCUUGAGUUGGCUGUGUGAUUGAAAAUUACGUUGUUGAAUUCACUGUUCAUCUUUAAUAAUUAUCAUUUUCACUCAUCUGUCAACACUUAAAUACAUAAUAAUAACAACAGUUUAAUAUUAAAAAAUGUUACAUUGUCUUUAAUCAAUUAAAAGUUUUACCGUUCCGUUUUUAUAAACACAUCGUCACAUGGUUCUAUGUAUCACUAGUAGGAAGAUAACAUUGCGCAGUAAAAUUGAAACCAAGUUUGAAUGGAAGAAAAUAUUGCAGUAGGUCCGGGGGAUGUUUUUUUAAAUUUAAUUAUUUUAUUUGUAAAGAGUUGUUAGUGGAAAGUAUAAAUCAGAAAUAUUUAAUGGUCAAAUUCAAUCUUAAAAUACGUAAUCGGCAAUUAUCAAUACUACUGUUUAUACAAUAGGCUGACACCGGUUGUGUUAAUAAUCUUGCCCUAAGGCUGAGCUCUUUACGGCAAUUUCACUCCCUGUGUAUAUAAAGAGUACCGUUAUAAGAGUGAUUAUAGUUCAUUGAUUAAUUAUUGUCCAAUUCUUUGAUUAUUGUUAGAUAAUUUUUUAAGGAAACGUAUGUAUGUCGUAUAUCGUCAUUAUCAAGUCGUACAAAUGAUCGAUCUAUUUCUAACAGUGUCUAUGUAAAACAAUAGCGUGUAACUGCAUUACUGGAUACAAAGUAAACAAGUUUCAUCAAGUCAUAGUUGUUGCUAAGCUUUCUGCACUUGAGAUCCCCCUUUGAAGUCCGACACGAGACAGGUGCAUGCCUAUGACACCGGAAAUUGUUAAACAAACAUUGACCACGCGCCAAGUCAACAGGUGGCUGGUUACGUAAUGGCGAAUACACUGGCGAUAGUCAGAGUGGAUACUUAUUUUAAUGCUUGGGAAUAAAAUAUUUCUGACAAAUUUUAUAGGCCAUUUUGAAGUGAUAAGAUCGACGUAUGGUCUGAGAUCGACGUAUCAUAGGAUUUUGUUAAAAUUUUGGCUAAAAAUGGGCAAUUCGACGAGUCGUCCGCAUCGACGAGUCGUCGGGAAAAUACGGUACA